UGAGGAAUAUUGGUCAAUGGGCGGAAGCCUGAACCAGCCAUGCCGCGUGAAGGACUAAGGCCCUAUGGGUCGUAAACUUCUUUAGACGCAGAGCAAUAAGGGUCUCGAGAGAUCCGAUGAGAGUAUGCGUAGAAUAAGCAUCGGCUAACUCCGUGCCAGCAGCCGCGGUAAUACGGGGGAUGCGAGCGUUAUCCGGAAUUAUUGGGUUUAAAGGGUGCGUAGGCUGUUUUGCAAGUCAGGGGUGAAAGCCCGGAGCUCAACUCCGGAACUGCCUUUGAUACUGCGAGGCUGGAAUACGGAUGCCGUGGGAGGAAUGAGUAGUGUAGCGGUGAAAUGCAUAGAUAUUACUCAGAACACCGAUUGCGAAGGCAUCUCACGAAUCCGUCAUUGACGCUGAGGCACGAAAGCGUGGGGAUCAAACAGGAUUAGAUACCCUGGUAGU
Molecule: ribosomal RNA, 442 nt
Filed under: uncultured bacterium
Lineage: Bacteria
Description: bacterial SSU rRNA
Rfam family: Bacterial small subunit ribosomal RNA
Source: RNAcentral